AUUGAACGCUGGCGGCAUGCCUUACACAUGCAAGUCGAACGGCAGCACGGGAGCAAUCCUGGUGGCGAGUGGCGAACGGGUGAGUAAUGUAUCGGAACGUGCCCAGUCGUGGGGGAUAACGCAGCGAAAGCUGUGCUAAUACCGCAUACGAUCUAUGGAUGAAAGCGGGGGAUCGCAAGACCUCGCGCGAUUGGAGCGGCCGAUAUCAGAUUAGGUAGUUGGUGGGGUAAAGGCCCACCAAGCCUGCGAUCUGUAGCUGGUCUGAGAGGACGAUCAGCCACACUGGGACUGAGACACGGCCCAGACUCCUACGGGAGGCAGCAGUGGGGAAUUUUGGACAAUGGGCGCAAGCCUGAUCCAGCAAUGCCGCGUGCAGGAUGAAGGCCUUCGGGUUGUAAACUGCUUUUGUACGAGACGAAAAGACUCGCUCUAAUACAGUGGGUACAUGACGGUAUCGUAAGAAUAAGCACCGGCUAACUACGUGCCAGCAGCAGCCGCGG
This 500-nucleotide ribosomal RNA is filed under the name uncultured bacterium. RNAcentral describes it as "partial 16S ribosomal RNA". It matches the Rfam family "Bacterial small subunit ribosomal RNA", at positions 30 to 523 of the family's 1533-position model. The record is from RNAcentral.